This 68-nucleotide small RNA is filed under the name Flavobacterium xueshanense. Its description in RNAcentral is "Flavo-1 RNA". It matches the Rfam family "Flavo-1 RNA". Lineage: Bacteria; Pseudomonadati; Bacteroidota; Flavobacteriia; Flavobacteriales; Flavobacteriaceae. The record is from RNAcentral.
CCCUAGCGCUGAUAGCAGCGGCAUCCCGCGCUUUUUCUGCGCGGAUAUAGCGAAUAGCAGGAAAUAGC